RNAcentral lists this ribosomal RNA (254 nucleotides) under uncultured bacterium. RNAcentral's name for it is "partial 16S ribosomal RNA". It matches the Rfam family "Archaeal small subunit ribosomal RNA", at positions 474 to 727 of the family's 1478-position model. The record is from RNAcentral.
UACCGGCAGCCCGAGUGAUGGCCAAUCUUAUUGGGCCUAAAGCGUCCGUAGCCGGCCGGACAAGUCUGUUGGGAAAUCCAGUGGCUCAACCACUGGGCUUCCAGCGGAAACUGUUCGGCUUGGGGCCGGAAGACCUGAGGGGUACGUCCGGGGUAGGAGUGAAAUCCUAUAAUCCUGGACGGACCACCGGUGGCGAAAGCGCCUCAGGAGGACGGACCCGACGGUGAGGGACGAAAGCUAGGGUCUCGAACCGG